Molecule: transfer RNA, 73 nt
Filed under: Marmota marmota marmota (Alpine marmot)
Lineage: Eukaryota; Metazoa; Chordata; Mammalia; Rodentia; Sciuridae
Also listed under: 1 other name
Rfam family: tRNA
About the family: Transfer RNA (tRNA) molecules are approximately 80 nucleotides in length. Their secondary structure includes four short double-helical elements and three loops (D, anti-codon, and T loops).
Source: Rfam by way of RNAcentral
AAGUGUGUGGUUCAGUGGUAGAGUGUUUGUCUAACACGUAUUGGAUCCUGGGUUUGAUACUCCAGCACUCUUA